AAAUUGAUAAAAUAUGAAACACCCUAAUAUACAUAUGUGUAUAAUUAUAUGCAUAUAUGUAUAUAUAAAUACAGUUAAUUGUAGAUAUCUUGACCCUCCGGGAAACCAUGGAAAACGAUUCUACUAAACGAAUGUUUGACUUAAGCGAUGUAUAACUGCCGAAAAGAUGCAGUUACCUGAUGUUCUUAAAUAAAAAUACACAUUGCACUAAAAUAGAAUUUAGACCAUUUGUAGGUUGUACCAUAUUGACUGGAUUGUGGAAAAUGCAUCAAAUCAAAAUGAGUCUGAUAACUGAAAGCGAUAAAAAUACAUAUGAAUUUGAUAUUGGUGAUAAAGAUAACGAUAUCAUGAUUUUAUCAAGAUCGUUUUAAAAAUAACUUUAAUUUUGUAUAAGUUAUUGUUCUAAAAAUGUAUAAAUUA
Molecule: non-coding RNA, 420 nt
Organism: Hydra vulgaris (swiftwater hydra)
Lineage: Eukaryota; Metazoa; Cnidaria; Hydrozoa; Anthoathecata; Hydridae
Source: RefSeq, a predicted model, not a curated record